GUGAUUAUUUAUUUUUUUAAUAAUAUAAAAUCUCUUAUAUAAUAAAUCACAGGUCACCUUACCAAUAUUACUUUGACACAUGUAUUCUAUUUCAUAUUUUAAAAUUACAAAUUAUGUUUAAAAUAAUAAAACCAAAAAUAUAAAAAGGUGAAAAGUAAUACACGUUCAUUCGAAUAAUCUCUCUACAUUGGUUCUUCUUAUCCACACCUCCACGAUCACCAUUCACCUCAAUCUCUUAUAACUACCUUCACCCAUCAUUUAUAUAUGUGCAAUGUCAUUCUAUGUUCUCUCUUACUCAAA
RNAcentral lists this long non-coding RNA (300 nucleotides) under Brassica napus (rape). RNAcentral's name for it is "long non-coding RNA (BNAP_LNC021183)". Lineage: Eukaryota; Viridiplantae; Streptophyta; Magnoliopsida; Brassicales; Brassicaceae. The record is from RNAcentral.